Molecule: long non-coding RNA, 300 nt
Organism: Gastrolobium bilobum
Lineage: Eukaryota; Viridiplantae; Streptophyta; Magnoliopsida; Fabales; Fabaceae
Exons: 3
Source: RefSeq, a predicted model, not a curated record
GCUAUGGAGCUUGAAUAGCUCAUUGGAAUUGGUGUAUGUUUGUAAAAGUUGAUUGCUGAAACUGUUGGUGAAGAACAAAGGUUGACUGAAGCAUUGAGGUAAGGAUGCUGCAGGAGCCUCUGGUGGCAAGUGGCCAUACCUAGAUUAUGCAUGAAAUAUGGCACUUCUUUGAGUUUAUGCAUGCCUUUUGUAGUUGACAUGUAUAGGAUUUUAUUUUGAAAGCCCAUGAUCAUUUGUAUAUCUUGAUUCAUUGGAUGAACUUAGCCUAUGCUCAUGCCUUUGGUUACACCUUUUGUUGAU